UCUGAGUUGAUUUUCUCUCAACUAAAACUAGCGCAAAUUUGAGCAUAAACAGUCCGUUAUAAAAUUCCCGCUCAAAGACACAGUGUACGGUUGUAAUAGCAACGCGCAUUAGCAUUUCAGUCUCAAGGGUCAGGCCUAAAGUUCACGUACCACGACCGUACACGUAUAAACGGUCAUCUGGCUUUCGUUGGCUUGUACAUAACAAGUGUAUACAGUUUCAAUCCGGGCUUUCGGGCCGUAUAGCUCCCAGGGUUUGGCGUGAUUUAUGGGAGUUUGACCAAAGUGUGCGGAGUAGGGUUCAGGGCCAGGUCAGCACUGUUACAAGAUCAAUGAAAAAUACGCGAACUAUAAAAGCCUUUUCUAAAAAGGGUCAUUUGUAGACUAUUUUUUUCGUGAAAAUAAGACAUUAUGUGGGUUGAAGAGCACGGGGACAUCAUAUUUACACUGUGUUCAAACUUGAUUAGUUUUAUAUAUUUCUCAACCUUAAAAACAUCGUUUCUUUCUCCAGGUAGGCAGUAUACAGGUAUGCUAUACGUGAGUGCACUGGCUGCAGAAUAUGGCAUGUUUAAACUUUUAACUUCAGCAGUCUUCGAGGGAGGAAGUUUCUAAUUAUUUUGAAAACCACCCCAUACAUCUCUUCAAGGUUGUUGCUGUGCCUGCAUGACAUGACUUCGCAUGAACUUUUAGAAAUGGCAGCCGAUUGUGCUUGGUUAUCCAGAAGGGCCAAGAUUCAAGAUUCGUGUCUUUGGAGAAGUGCCAUAUUGACAACCUUGCUGAACAAGGAAUCCACUUUUUUUCUACAUCUGGAUAAUCUUCUGUUAAAGGUUCCAUUAAAUGAAUGUUACUCUAAAACAUAGAUUGGGCAAUUAGUCAAUCUGCAUGGAGGUAUUCAAAGAAAAUCAUGUUGAAAUGUCAAUAUUUUAAAAUGCAGGUUUUUUGCGAGUUCCCUGUAUACAAAUAUAUCUUCACGAACAAACGUUAUUCAAGUGUCCCUUUCAAGUGUUAUUCUUUUUCAUAGACUCUGUAGCUACAAAAAAACCAAAACAAUUCCUUUGAGUUUUCUUUUGAAGAUCUUCCAUGGGAGAGAAAGAAAAUGAAGGAUCUAGAUAGAGGACAGAUUUAAAAAGCAUGUGAUUCAGUAGAUUAAAAGUUGUCGGAUCUAUUUUAUUUGUUCGAUGUGAAAGUCGCCUUCCUAUACUAUAUUUCUCAUCACGGACAGUUGAAAAUACUAAUGUUCAAAUACUAUUUGAAACCAUACUUUUGCUGGAAUGUACGUUACGUAUAGCACUGUGUAAAACCGGUGAGUGGCUAGGUCGCCGAUAAUAGCCCUUGCAUUCCGGCU
This is a long non-coding RNA of Patiria miniata (bat star), 1342 nucleotides long. RefSeq lists it as uncharacterized. NCBI's taxonomy places the organism in Eukaryota, Metazoa, Echinodermata, Asteroidea, Valvatida, Asterinidae. The transcript is spliced from 3 exons. The record is from RefSeq and is a predicted model, not a curated record.